Molecule: long non-coding RNA, 427 nt
Filed under: Ananas comosus (pineapple)
Lineage: Eukaryota; Viridiplantae; Streptophyta; Magnoliopsida; Poales; Bromeliaceae
Description: long non-coding RNA (ACOM_LNC026421)
Source: RNAcentral
CUUUUGUGGUGAUGCUGGUGUAAACAGAAACAGAAACAGGAAUUGGAGUUUAUUAAAAUAUGACAACCACAACCCCUUAAAAAACAUAAGCUCAUUAAAGUACUAUAAUGUACUGUGGAUGCUAUAAACUUCGCUUUUUUAAAAAAAGGCCAACUUUCAACAGUCCAGCUCGUUUCCAUCUUAAUUUGCCAUAUUUGUUUUCCUCUAAUGUUUCUACCGUCUAUAUUAUCACUGCUGUUUUACAAAUUUGUUUUUAUUUUCGUAAACUGCUAACUAUAAUCUAGACCUCCUAGGCUGUCUAAAUAUUUCUAUUACGAAAUUUCUAAAAAAUCUUAAUUCUGUUUUCAUUCCAUCUAUUUUACAGAUUGUCUUAUUUUUUAAAUAUUUAAACCAGUAUUCUUUUAGAAUAUUUGUAGUCAUAAUUUGU